Molecule: non-coding RNA, 222 nt
Organism: Labrus bergylta (ballan wrasse)
Lineage: Eukaryota; Metazoa; Chordata; Actinopteri; Labriformes; Labridae
Source: RefSeq, a predicted model, not a curated record
CCAAGGGUCAGACUUGACCCCGGGUUCGUCUGUUUGGAAGACAAAAGCCUCCGUCCAGAUCGAACAAACAAGACUUUCCAAAGAGGCGGAUGAGAGCGAGGUGUCAUCACCGGGCGGCAGAAGAACGGAGCCACGGUCCCUCGUCCUGUUAGUCUGACCCCUCCGUCUCCCCGUACGACCAACUAGCUGCUGGUUGAGUGUGUGAAGAACAAAGACUUAAAG